CAAAGCGUAAAUGUGAUGCAAGCGAUGGUGAUGCAUCAAAGAAAAGGAAAACAACCACGACUGAAACUAAAGUGGAAUUAAUAAAGCGUUCGGAAAAAGGUGCUGAGUACACAAGGCUGGACUAUGGAGUCACCGAGCCACCAGCCCUGGCUUUUCAGAUUGCCUCUUGUCUGGCACCUUACCUCCACCCUACUUGCCAAGAAUGACCAAGGAGAAACAUACUCAUUGUCUUGCUACAUAAGAUUUGAGGAGGCUGGCCGGUGGUGACAGACGAAUCCUAUGCUGACUGAAGAUGAUGACCAACUGCCAUGAUGGCCGAGACAUACCAUGCUGAGCUGGGGAUUCAAGAUACCAUAUAGCAACAAUAUCAUUAUUACUUGUUAACUGUCUUAGAAGUCUUAUUUAAUCUAGAAUGCCCAGGAGGAGUGAGCAACCACUGGCUCUUGGACCCCCAGAGGUUUUUAUCCCUCUUGAUUUUCACUUGGGAGUUUUUGUACCUUUCCUCCAUGGCCAGUAGGCAUACUUAUAGCUCUAUAAAAGCAUUGCAUUAUGAUAGUCUGUAGUCAACUGUCUUCUUUGUUUCUUUAUCUGAUUUAUUUGUUUUUCUUGCCUUAUGCCUGUGUUAAAGCGCUCUGUGUCAC
Molecule: long non-coding RNA, 641 nt
Filed under: Scleropages formosus (Asian bonytongue)
Lineage: Eukaryota; Metazoa; Chordata; Actinopteri; Osteoglossiformes; Osteoglossidae
Description: lncRNA (ENSSFOG00015025192.1)
Source: RNAcentral